RNAcentral lists this long non-coding RNA (291 nucleotides) under Rattus norvegicus (Norway rat). RNAcentral's name for it is "long non-coding RNA NONRATT027178". Lineage: Eukaryota; Metazoa; Chordata; Mammalia; Rodentia; Muridae. The record is from RNAcentral.
AUUGUUGCCAUCAACGACCCCUUCAUUGACCUCAACUACAUGGUCUACACAUUCCAGUAUGACUUUACCCACGGCAAGUUCAACGGCACAGUCAAGGCUGAGAAUGGGAAGCUGGUCAUCAACAGGAAGCCCAUCACCAUCUUCCAGGAGCGAGAUCCCGCUAACAUCAAAUGGGGUGACGCUGGUGCUGAGUGUGUCGUGGAGUCUACUGGCGUCUUCACCACCAUGGAGAAGGCUGGGGCUCACUUGAAGGGUGGGGCCAAAAGGGUCAUCAUCUCCGCCCCUUCCGCU